GACAGCUUCGUGUGUAGUAACUUUACUGUAAGAGCACUGAACUAAACGGAGUAAUCGUGUCCGUACACUUCCGGAAGUGGUGAGGCCGUAUAUGGGAAUAUGCUGGAUACUAGUUCCGUUUACCUUUGAGGACACGUGACGUUAAGACUCAGAUCCCUUUUCAUGUCCAAGUGAAGAAACUGGGGUCCUGGUUACAAAAAGCAAGUGAAUUCAGCAUCACAGUUGAAUCUCAUAAAUACAGGAGAGCAAAGAGGCAUCAAGCGGUCCACCAG
Long non-coding RNA from Monopterus albus (swamp eel), 272 nucleotides. RefSeq lists it as uncharacterized. Lineage: Eukaryota; Metazoa; Chordata; Actinopteri; Synbranchiformes; Synbranchidae. The record is from RefSeq and is a predicted model, not a curated record. The transcript has 3 exons.